GACGAACGCUGGCGGCGUGCUUAACACAUGCAAGUCGAACGGAAAGGCCCUGCUUUUGUGGGGUGCUCGAGUGGCGAACGGGUGAGUAACACGUGAGUAACCUGCCCUUGACUUUGGGAUAACUUCAGGAAACUGGGGCUAAUACCGGAUAGGAGCUCCUGCUGCAUGGUGGGGGUUGGAAAGUUUCGGCGGUUGGGGAUGGACUCGCGGCUUAUCAGCUUGUUGGUGGGGUAGUGGCUUACCAAGGCUUUGACGGGUAGCCGGCCUGAGAGGGUGACCGGCCACAUUGGGACUGAGAUACGGCCCAGACUCCUACGGGAGGCAGCAGUGGGGAAUAUUGCACAAUGGGCGGAAGCCUGAUGCAGCAACGCCGCGUGCGGGAUGACGGCCUUCGGGUUGUAAACCGCUUUCGCCUGUGACGAAGCGUGAGUGACGGUAAUGGGUAAAGAAGCACCGGCUAACUACGUGCCAGCAGCCGCGGUGAUACGUAGGGUGCGAGCGUUGUCCGGAUUUAUUGGGCGUAAAGGGCUCGUAGGUGGUUGAUCGCGUCGGAAGUGUAAUCUUGGGGCUUAACCCUGAGCGUGCUUUCGAUACGGGUUGACUUGAGGAAGGUAGGGGAGAAUGGAAUUCCUGGUGGAGCGGUGGAAUGCGCAGAUAUCAGGAGGAACACCAGUGGCGAAGGCGGUUCUCUGGGCCUUUCCUGACGCUGAGGAGCGAAAGCGUGGGGAGCGAACAGGCUUAGAUACCCUGGUAGUCCACGCUGUAAACGGUGGGUACUAGGUGUGGGGUCCAUUCCACGGGUUCCGUGCCGUAGCUAACGCUUUAAGUACCCCGCCUGGGGAGUACGGCCGCAAGGCUAAAACUCAAAGGAAUUGACGGGGCCCCGCACAAGCGGCGGAGCAUGCGGAUUAAUUCGAUGCAACGCGUAGAACCUUACCUGGGUUUGACAUGGAUCGGGAGUGCUCAGAGAUGGGUGUGCCUCUUUUGGGGUCGGUUCACAGGUGGUGCAUGGCUGUCGUCAGCUCGCGUCGUGAGAUGUUGGGUUAAGUCCCGCAACGAGCGCAACCCUUGUUCACUGUUGCCAGCACGUUAUGGUGGGGACUCAGUGGAGACCGCCGGGGUCAACUCGGAGGAAGGUGGGGAAGACGUCAAGUCAUCAUGCCCCUUAUGUCCAGGGCUUCACGCAUGCUACAAUGGCUGGUACAGAGAGUGGCGAGCCUGUGAGGGUGAGCGAAUCUCGGAAAGCCGGUCUCAGUUCGGAUUGGGGUCUGCAACUCGACCUCAUGAAGUCGGAGUCGCUAGUAAUCGCAGAUCAGCAACGCUGCGGUGAAUACGUUCCCGGG
RNAcentral lists this ribosomal RNA (1343 nucleotides) under uncultured bacterium. RNAcentral's name for it is "16S ribosomal RNA". It matches the Rfam family "Bacterial small subunit ribosomal RNA", at positions 28 to 1378 of the family's 1533-position model. The record is from RNAcentral.